AGAGUUUGAUCCUGGCUCAGAACGAACGCUGGCGGCGUGCCUAACACAUGCAAGUCAAACGGGAUUGAGGGGCUUGCUCCUCAAUUUAGUGGCGCACGGGUGAGUAACGUGUAGAUAAUCUGCCUGACGAUCUGGGAUAACACUUCGAAAGGGGUGCUAAUACCGGAUAAGCCCACGGAGACUUUGGUCUUUGCGGGAAA
This 200-nucleotide ribosomal RNA is filed under the name uncultured bacterium. RNAcentral's name for it is "partial 16S ribosomal RNA". It matches the Rfam family "Bacterial small subunit ribosomal RNA", at positions 8 to 204 of the family's 1533-position model. The record is from RNAcentral.